AGCGCUAUCGUCGAGUGGUAAGACAGCACGUUGCAGUUCGUUAUCGGUAAAGCAACAUACGUGUAAACGACGGUUCGAUCCCGUCUGGCGCUG
Molecule: non-coding RNA, 93 nt
Organism: Hypoxylon sp. FL1150
Lineage: Eukaryota; Fungi; Ascomycota; Sordariomycetes; Xylariales; Hypoxylaceae
Source: the annotation of a GenBank genome assembly